RNAcentral lists this microRNA precursor (131 nucleotides) under Canis lupus familiaris (dog). RNAcentral describes it as "miRNA (ENSCAFG00845001842.1)". The record is from RNAcentral. Lineage: Eukaryota; Metazoa; Chordata; Mammalia; Carnivora; Canidae.
GAUCUGCACAGCUCAAGGGCACUCAGCGGCAGGAGUGUCCUCGCUGUACUGUGCCCUCCCGGCCUCCACCUGUCCCGAGGGGAGCGCAGGAUCCUGGGCUGUGUCCCCGUUGCCCUGAGAUCCAGGGCCUG